GGUGAAGAGAAGCUUGCUUCUUGGAUCAGUGGCGAACGGGUGAGUAACACGUGAGCAAUCUGCCCUUGACUCUGGGAUAAGCGUUGGAAACGACGUCUAAUACCGGAUACGACCCUCGGAGGCAUCUCCUGGGGGUGGAAAGAAUUUUGGUCAAGGAUGAGCUCGCGGCCUAUCAGCUAGUUGGUGAGGUAAUGGCUCACCAAGGCGACGACGGGUAGCCGGCCUGAGAGGGUGACCGGCCACACUGGGACUGAGACACGGCCCAGACUCCUACGGGAGGCAGCAGUGGGGAAUAUUGCACAAUGGGCGAAAGCCUGAUGCAGCAACGCCGCGUGAGGGACGAAGGCCUUCGGGUUGUAAACCUCUUUUAGUAGGGAAGAAGCGAAAGUGACGGUACCUGCAGAAAAAGCACCGGCUAACUACGUGCCAGCAGCCGCGGUAAUACGUAGGGUGCAAGCGUUGUCCGGAAUUAUUGGGCGUAAAGAGCUCGUAGGCGGUUUGUCGCGUCUGCUGUGAAAACCCGAGGCUCAACCUCGGGCCUGCAGUGGGUACGGGCAGACUAGAGUGCGGUAGGGGAGAUUGGAAUUCCUGGUGUAGCGGUGGAAUGCGCAGAUAUCAGGAGGAACACCAAUGGCGAAGGCAGAUCUCUGGGCCGUAACUGACGCUGAGGAGCGAAAGCAUGGGGAGCGAACAGGAUUAGAUACCCUGGUAGUCCAUGCCGUAAACGUUGGGAACUAGAUGUGGGGACCAUUCCACGGUCUCCGUGUCGCAGCUAACGCAUUAAGUUCCCCGCCUGGGGAGUACGGCCGCAAGGCUAAAACUCAAAGGAAUUGACGGGGGCCCGCACAAGCGGCGGAGCAUGCGGAUUAAUUCGAUGCAACGCGAAGAACCUUACCAAGGCUUGACAUAUAGAGGAAACGGCUGGAAACAGUCGCCCCGCAAGGUCUCUAUACAGGUGGUGCAUGGUUGUCGUCAGCUCGUGUCGUGAGAUGUUGGGUUAAGUCCCGCAACGAGCGCAACCCUCGUCCUAUGUUGCCAGCACGUAAUGGUGGGAACUCAUGGGAUACUGCCGGGGUCACU
RNAcentral lists this ribosomal RNA (1080 nucleotides) under Cryobacterium sp. RNAcentral's name for it is "bacterial SSU rRNA". It matches the Rfam family "Bacterial small subunit ribosomal RNA", at positions 68 to 1162 of the family's 1533-position model. Lineage: Bacteria; Bacillati; Actinomycetota; Actinomycetes; Micrococcales; Microbacteriaceae. The record is from RNAcentral.